CUAAUACAUGCAAGUCGAGCGAACGGACGAGAAGCUUGCUUCUCUGAUGUUAGCGGCGGACGGGUGAGUAACACGUGGAUAACCUACCUAUAAGACUGGGAUAACUUCGGGAAACCGGAGCUAAUACCGGAUAAUAUUUUGAACCGCAUGGUUCAAAAGUGAAAGACGGUCUUGCUGUCACUUAUAGAUGGAUCCGCGCUGCAUUAGCUAGUUGGUAAGGUAACGGCUUACCAAGGCAACGAUGCAUAGCCGACCUGAGAGGGUGAUCGGCCACACUGGAACUGAGACACGGUCCAGACUCCUACGGGAGGCAGCAGUAGGGAAUCUUCCGCAAUGGGCGAAAGCCUGACGGAGCAACGCCGCGUGAGUGAUGAAGGUCUUCGGAUCGUAAAACUCUGUUAUUAGGGAAGAACAUAUGUGUAAGUAACUGUGCACAUCUUGACGGUACCUAAUCAGAAAGCCACGGCUAACUACGUGCCAGCAGCCGCGGUAAUACGUAGGUGGCAAGCGUUAUCCGGAAUUAUUGGGCGUAAAGCGCGCGUAGGCGGUUUUUUAAGUCUGAUGUGAAAGCCCACGGCUCAACCGUGGAGGGUCAUUGGAAACUGGAAAACUUGAGUGCAGAAGAGGAAAGUGGAAUUCCAUGUGUAGCGGUGAAAUGCGCAGAGAUAUGGAGGAACACCAGUGGCGAAGGCGACUUUCUGGUCUGUAACUGACGCUGAUGUGCGAAAGCGUGGGGAUCAAACAGGAUUAGAUACCCUGGUAGUCCACGCCGUAAACGAUGAGUGCUAAGUGUUAGGGGGUUUCCGCCCCUUAGUGCUGCAGCUAACGCAUUAAGCACUCCGCCUGGGGAGUACGACCGCAAGGUUGAAACUCAAAGGAAUUGACGGGGACCCGCACAAGCGGUGGAGCAUGUGGUUUAAUUCGAAGCAACGCGAAGAACCUUACCAAAUCUUGACAUCCUUUGACAACUCUAGAGAUAGAGCCUUCCCCUUCGGGGGACAAAGUGACAGGUGGUGCAUGGUUGUCGUCAGCUCGUGUCGUGAGAUGUUGGGUUAAGUCCCGCAACGAGCGCAACCCUUAAGCUUAGUUGCCAUCAUUAAGUUGGGCACUCUAAGUUGACUGCCGGUGACAAACCGGAGGAAGGUGGGGAUGACGUCAAAUCAUCAUGCCCCUUAUGAUUUGGGCUACACACGUGCUACAAUGGACAAUACAAAGGGCAGCGAAACCGCGAGGUCAAGCAAAUCCCAUAAAGUUGUUCUCAGUUCGGAUUGUAGUCUGCAACUCGACUACAUGAAGCUGGAAUCGCUAGUAAUCGUAGAUCAGCAUGCUACGGUGAAUACGUUCCCGGGUCUUGUACACACCGCCCGUCACACCACGAGAGUUUGUAACACCCGAAGCCGGUGGAGUAACCUUUUAGGAGCUAGCCGUCGAAGGUGGGACAAAUGAUUGGGGUGAAGUCGUAACAAGGUAGCCGUAUCGGAAGGUGCGGCUGGAUCACCUCCUUUCUAA
This 1509-nucleotide ribosomal RNA is filed under the name Staphylococcus aureus. Its description in RNAcentral is "partial 16S ribosomal RNA". It matches the Rfam family "Bacterial small subunit ribosomal RNA". Lineage: Bacteria; Bacillati; Bacillota; Bacilli; Caryophanales; Staphylococcaceae. The record is from RNAcentral.